This 620-nucleotide ribosomal RNA is filed under the name uncultured bacterium. RNAcentral describes it as "bacterial SSU rRNA". It matches the Rfam family "Bacterial small subunit ribosomal RNA", at positions 338 to 951 of the family's 1533-position model. The record is from RNAcentral.
CCUACGGGAGGCAGCAGUAGGGAAUCUUCCACAAUGGGCGAAAGCCUGAUGGAGCAACGCCGCGUGAGUGAUGAAGGCCUUCGGGUUGUAAAACUCUGUCAUUCGGGACGAACCGGAGUCUGAGGAAAUGCAGACUCUCUGACGGUACCGGAGGAGGAAGCCCCGGCUAACUACGUGCCAGCAGCCGCGGUAAUACGUAGGGGGCAAGCGUUGUCCGGAUUCACUGGGCGUAAAGCGCGCGCAGGCGGUGAUGUAAGUCUGAGGUGAAAACCCGAAGCUCAACUUCGGGACUGCCUUGGAUACUGCGUCACUUGAGGAUAGGAGAGGCAAGGGGAAUUCCACGUGUAGCGGUGAAAUGCGUAGAGAUGUGGAGGAACACCUGUGGCGAAGGCGCCUUGCUGGCCUAUUCUGACGCUGAGGCGCGAAAGCGUGGGGAGCAAACAGGAUUAGAUACCCUGGUAGUCCACGCUGUAAACGAUGAGUGCUAGGUGUAGGUGGGCUCAUACCCAUCUGUGCCGAAGCUAACGCAUUAAGCACUCCGCCUGGGGAGUACGGUCGCAAGACUGAAACUUAAGAGUUAGAGCGUUGAGACGNGCGACGGACGACGACGAGGGAGGAGG